GAUGAACGCUGGCGGCGUGCCUAAUACAUGCAGGUCGAGCGAACAGAUGAGGAGCUUGCUCCUCUGACGUUAGCGGCGGACGGGUGAGUAACACGUGGAUAACCUACCUAUAAGACUGGGAUAACUUCGGGAAACCGGAGCUAAUACCGGAUAAUAUAUUGAACCGCAUGGUUCAAUAGUGGAAGACGGUUUUGCUGUCACUUAUAGAUGGAUCCGCGCCGCAUUAGCUAGUUGGUAAGGUAACGGCUUACCAAGGCAACGAUGCGUAGCCGACCUGAGAGGGUGAUCGGCCACACUGGAACUGAGACACGGUCCAGACUCCUACGGGAGGCAGCAGUAGGGAAUCUUCCGCAAUGGGCGAAAGCCUGACGGAGCAACGCCGCGUGAGUGAUGAAGGUCUUCGGAUCGUAAAACUCUGUUAUUAGGGAAGAACAAAUGUGUAAGUAACUAUGCACGUCUUGACGGUACCUAAUCAGAAAGCCACGGCUAACUACGUG
This 497-nucleotide ribosomal RNA is filed under the name uncultured bacterium. RNAcentral's name for it is "partial 16S ribosomal RNA". It matches the Rfam family "Bacterial small subunit ribosomal RNA", at positions 28 to 507 of the family's 1533-position model. The record is from RNAcentral.